RNAcentral lists this ribosomal RNA (500 nucleotides) under uncultured bacterium. RNAcentral describes it as "partial 16S ribosomal RNA". It matches the Rfam family "Bacterial small subunit ribosomal RNA", at positions 30 to 523 of the family's 1533-position model. The record is from RNAcentral.
AUUGAACGCUGGCGGAAUGCUUUACACAUGCAAGUCGAACGGCAGCACGGACUUCGGUCUGGUGGCGAGUGGCGAACGGGUGAGUAAGGUAUCGGAACGUGCCCAGUCGUGGGGGAUAGCGUAGUGGAAAUUACGCUAAUACCGCAGACGAUCGAUGGAUGAAAGCGGGGGAGCGCAAGACCUCGCGCGAUUGGAGCGGCCGAUAUCAGCUUAGGUAGUUGGUGGGGGAAAGGCCCACCAAGCCAACGAACUGUAGCUGGUCUGAGAGGACGCCCAGCCACACUGGACCUGAGACUCGGUCCAGACUCCUACGGGAGGCAGCAGUGGGGAAUUUUGGACAAUGGGCGAAAGCCUGAUCCAGCCAUUCCGCGUGCAGGAUGAAGGCCCUCGGGUUGUAAACUGCUUUUGUACAGAACGAAAAGGUUUCUACUAAUACUAGGAGCUCAUGACGGUACUGUAAGAAUAAGCACCGGCUAACUACGUGCCAGCCGCCGCAGUAA